RNAcentral lists this long non-coding RNA (259 nucleotides) under Gossypium barbadense (sea-island cotton). RNAcentral describes it as "long non-coding RNA (GBAR_LNC003420)". The record is from RNAcentral. Lineage: Eukaryota; Viridiplantae; Streptophyta; Magnoliopsida; Malvales; Malvaceae.
GGGACUUUUGGAUAUUGUAACCUUGUCAAUUUUUGCUCGUAUUUAAUCAUUCAACAUUCAUAGCAGUUGAAUGACAAUUAAACAUAUAUAAUUUAAUUUAAAGACAUUUAUUUUCAUAUGAACUUACCUUGAAAUUCAGAAUAAACGGACUGGAUCGACUAUUCAAUAACCUUUGAUUUUCCCCGAUCUAAAUCCAAUUUCUUUCGUUCUUGAUCUAUAUACAUUCAAAAUUAACUCAUUUAUUCAUCAAAUCAUUCAA